GCAAUUGCGCCCCUUGUUUUGUUCCUUUUCUCUAUCAAAUUGUGAUUGUGAAGCUCCAAUCGUUUCCGAGACUAUUAGAACUCAGUUUCCCUUCUCCCCAUGUAUCUUUCUCUAUUUUUCUAGAGUUUUACGUUAAUUUUAUUCUGUUUGAUUGCUUUGUUGGCAUCUUUAUGCUGCUAUUGUUUCAAUCGAGUCCUUCGCGAUGAUGGAUUGAAAGGUGUAAAGGAAAUUAGGGAUUGACGUUGUGGGUUUUUAACAAGGUAUAGAUUACUUGAGAUGAGAUUGCAAAAAAUAUCAACUGCAUGCAGUUGAUGCUUGCUUGAAAUUCUACUACAUUGAUGUAUAACGCUAUGAUCGUUGCGAUUUGGUUUGUUCUAUUUUUCAUUUGAAACUAUCUUGGAUUAUCGCAGCGCUAGCUUUCCGUUUGUUCCCGGGUUCCCAUCGAUUUGCAUUCCACUUUCCCUUACACGGUUCAGCUGUUUCAGUAAUCUUUGGCUAAAACUUAAUACAAAGCAGUACAUAUACUUAUCUCUUUGUUCUAAUAAUUUGGUGAAGCAGCUGCAGGCUGUUUAAUCGUAGUGGAACGGAGGCUCUCGACCCACAGUGAUAUAUCGCCUUUUGGGGAGCGCCCAUGAAUCAUAAGAAUUUUUUUCAGCAACAAUGUCUAUGCACCGAAUGGUAAUAAUUCUGCUGCAGUCGAUGCCCACAUGCCUGUAUUACUUGUCUUCUUUUCCAUUGUUUCUGUUUAUCUGGUGCCUUCUGACUGUUCUCUUUUGGAGCUGGAGCAUGUUGGAGAAGCAGUGGAGCUCCAAUGCAUUGAACUCCUUUGGGAGAAGGCUGUGGAGCUAAAGCAUGUUGGAGGAAAAUACAAAGCUUGAAAAGGCGGCUCGUUAGAGAGAGGAGGCUUAUAAACCACUUAAGCUUCAAGGCUGCAAUGAAUUUGAGACGCUUGCCUAUAUAAGAGAUACUUACACCUUCAUAGAAAAAAGGGCAGAUGGUAUGGACAGGGAGAAGGGAAAUACACUCUACUCAGAGAUGAUGAAGGCUUAAAACUGGGGAUUUCUGUCGGGUUUAUAGUGCCCACUUACGUGGUAUUAUGCUACGAUCUUGUACUUUGGAAAUUACUACCGCAAGGAUCUUUGGGAACGACAGGCCUUGCCGCCUCUGCGAUUGCUGCCACGGCAUGCUCUGUGAUAUUGUUAACCAUAGGCGUAACUUUGCUUUUCUCACUCUCAUAUUGCUGCUGCUUCCUUUUAUAUGUAGUUGAGAUGAUUUACUCACAAAAAGUAGAUGUUAAUCUUGUUCGGAGAAACCAAAAGUGUUGUUGAAUACUCAGGUUUCUUCCUGCACUUGGUAUACAUGACAAAAAAAGCAGUGAUCUAUACGAUCAUAGUCUUGACAGAAGCUUAUGUACCGUUUGACGAACUAAUGAACAGCCAAUUUAA
Non-coding RNA from Sesamum indicum (sesame), 1445 nucleotides. The record is from RefSeq and is a predicted model, not a curated record. Lineage: Eukaryota; Viridiplantae; Streptophyta; Magnoliopsida; Lamiales; Pedaliaceae.